UGGGGAAUUUUGGACAAUGGGCGAAAGCCUGAUCCAGCAAUGCCGCGUGUGUGAAGAAGGCCUUCGGGUUGUAAAGCACUUUUGUCCGGAAAGAAAUCCUUGGCUCUAAUACAGUCGGGGGAUGACGGUACCGGAAGAAUAAGCACCGGCUAACUACGUG
This 160-nucleotide ribosomal RNA is filed under the name uncultured bacterium. RNAcentral's name for it is "partial 16S ribosomal RNA". It matches the Rfam family "Bacterial small subunit ribosomal RNA", at positions 355 to 507 of the family's 1533-position model. The record is from RNAcentral.